RNAcentral lists this ribosomal RNA (411 nucleotides) under Verrucomicrobiota bacterium. RNAcentral describes it as "Verrucomicrobia bacterium partial 16S ribosomal RNA". It matches the Rfam family "Bacterial small subunit ribosomal RNA", at positions 355 to 776 of the family's 1533-position model. Lineage: Bacteria; Pseudomonadati; Verrucomicrobiota. The record is from RNAcentral.
UGUGGAAUAUUGCGCAAUGGGGGAAACCCUGACGCAGCGACGCCGCGUGCGGGAUGAAGGCCUUCGGGUUGUAAACCGCUUUUGAUUGGGAGCAAGCUUUCGGGUGAGUGUACCUUUCGAAUAAGCGCCGGCUAACUACGUGCCAGCAGCCGCGGUAAUACGUAGGGCGCAAGCGUUAUCCGGAAUUAUUGGGCGUAAAGAGCUUGUAGGCGGUUCGUCGCGUCUGGGGUGAAAGCCCAUCGCUUAACGGUGGGUUUGCGCCGGGUACGGGCGGGCUAGAGUGCAGUAGGGGAGACUGGAAUUCCCGGUGUAACGGUGGAAUGUGUAGAUAUCGGGAAGAACACCAAUGGCGAAGGCAGGUCUCUGGGCUGUUACUGACGCUGAGAAGCGAAAGCGUGGGGAGCGAACAGG